Long non-coding RNA from Syzygium oleosum, 812 nucleotides. RefSeq lists it as uncharacterized. The record is from RefSeq and is a predicted model, not a curated record. NCBI's taxonomy places the organism in Eukaryota, Viridiplantae, Streptophyta, Magnoliopsida, Myrtales, Myrtaceae. The transcript is spliced from 2 exons.
GCACUGAUUGGAAGCCGACCACUGCUGCACGUUCAUGGCCAAGCCACCCCUCCGUGGCUCGCAGUCGUUGCCGUCGAUGGCCAAGCCACCCACUUUGUUGCAGCUCGUCCAUUUGCUGCACCAGAGCAGAGCAAAAAGAAAAGAAAGAAAGAUGUUCCCACACUGCUGCGACUGAAGAAAGAUGUUGGCACUUCCCACAAACUUUUGGACUAAGACGAAAAGCCCACCUCCAAGUCUUUUUUGGGGGUUCAAGAGGAGCGCAAGUCUCAACUUAGAAGGUGUCCAAAAGAAGAUCUUGAUUUGCUCAUUCCCACUUUUGUGGAGAAGCAAUUCGACUGGUUUAGCUCCGAAUCCCCAAAAAGGAACCAUCCAUUGCAUUGCCAGAUCUGAUCAACACGAGCCAUGACCGCAGUUCGUCUAUCCACCGACAACAACCACGGCAAGCAACGAAGUUCAGAUCUGAUCUCCGUGACUUCAGAUCUGGGCGACCGAAUUUGAUCUGCGUCAACUAAGGAGGAGGGAGGGAACUCAAGCGACCAUGGACGAGGAUGGCUGCAAGCGACGACGAAGCGAGUGGCUCAGCCCUGGACACCCAGCAGUGAUCAGCUUUUGACGCGGUGCCGGCAAUCCGCUGGUGACUGGAUAGAGGAGCUGAUCGCGGAGAGAGCAAAAACGAGAAGUUGAUUUUUAAUUUUUUUUUUAUUCAUUUGCCACAUCAUGAAUGAGUGCCAAUUUCUAAUUGAAUUUGGAACAAAAACACAUGUCACGUCAACCUAUGACGUGGCACUGCUGCGUAACCACUGAAUACGAUA